AUCAACUUUCGAUGGUAGGAUAGAGGCCUACCAUGGUGGUAACGGGUAACGGGGUGUUAGGGCACGACACCGGAGAGGGAGCCUGAGAAACGGCUACCACAUCCAAGGAUGGCAGCAGGCGCGCAAAUUACCCAAUCCCGACACGGGGAGGUAGUGACAAUAAAUAACAAUACGGGGUUCUUUCGGAUUUCGUAAUUGGAAUGAGUACAAUUUAAAUCUCUUAACGAGGAACAAUUGGAGGGCAAGUCUGGUGCCAGCAGCCGCGGUAAUUCCAGCUCCAAUAGCGUAUAUUAAAGUUGCUGCAGUUAAAAAGCUCGUAGUUGAAUUUCGGGACUAAUAUGUCGGUCGUGCCUCGGUACGUACUGGUAUUUUUGGUUUCUCCCUUCUGAUGAACCUUGAUGUCAUUAAUUUGGUGUCUUGGGAAAUCAGGACUGUUACUUUGAAAAAAUUAGAGUGUUUAAAGCAGGCUCACGCUUGAAUACAUUAGCAUGGGAUAAUGAAAUAGGACGUUUGAUUCUAUUUUGUUGGUUUCUAGGAUCGACGUAAUGAUUAAUAGGGAUAGUUGGGGGCAUUAGUAUUCAAUUGUCAGAGGUGAAAUUCUUGGAUUUAUUGAAGACUAACUACUGCGAAAGCAUUUGCCAAGGAUGUUUUCAUUAAUCAAGAACGAAAGUUAGGGGAUCGAAGACGAUCAGAUACCGUCGUAGUCUUAACCAUAAACUAUGCCGACUAGGGAUCGGAUGAUGUUGAUUUUUUAAUGACUCAUUCNGCGCCUUACGGGAAACCAAAGUGUUUGGGUUC
Molecule: ribosomal RNA, 798 nt
Filed under: uncultured Glomeromycotina
Lineage: Eukaryota; Fungi; Glomeromycota
Description: SSU rRNA
Rfam family: Eukaryotic small subunit ribosomal RNA
Source: RNAcentral